Chroicocephalus ridibundus (black-headed gull) is the source of this 2126-nucleotide long non-coding RNA. RefSeq lists it as uncharacterized. Lineage: Eukaryota; Metazoa; Chordata; Aves; Charadriiformes; Laridae. The transcript has 5 exons. The record is from RefSeq and is a predicted model, not a curated record.
ACUCAGGUGCUGGGAGCUGCUCCUCUUGCAAAUUGGCCUUGAUUGAAGAGGAAGAGAAUGAUUAGGCUGAAGGGGAGCGAUGGGGGUGGCAGGCGAAAACACCGAGGUCUGCCCCCUCUCAGACCAUGAGCACCAAAGAUGUCCCAGCUCUGGCUGCCCCUGCUGGGGUCCUCCAUGGAGCAGUUUGUCUUGAUAAACUCGGGGAUGACACCACAGUGUGAGCACGGAUGCUACCUCCGAAACCAUCCAGCUGCUUCACAGUGCAGGGCCAAGGAACUGGUCCCAGAUUCAACCGAGAACCUCUGGCCCCCAAGUGCAGAGCAUUAACAGCCAGGAAUCCCAAACAAACCUGCCACAGGUGAGGCACCGCCAAACCCCCCGGGUUGUCUGUGCACAAAAGGGGUCGGGUCAUCCCUUGCGCAGCCCCGCGACUGCAGCCUCGUGCGGUGCAGGGUUUCUUCUGAAGACGGGAGGGCUUUGUCGUGCAAGAGGAGCCGUGUGGGUUUGGCAAUCCAGAUGCGCAGGUAACUCGGUGCCUAAGCAGAUCAUUUGCGUCCAGGAUGACUUGGAAGACACAUGGAAGCCAGUGACCACCUGGAGCUGUAGAUGGGGUCGAUGGGCGUCGAGGCAGUAACAUCUCAGGUCCAGACGGGCACCCAGCAGCGGCAUCCUGGCAGGUGACUUGAGAUCUCUAUCAGAUGGUGGAUCCCUGCACAGAUACCCAAGGAACCAACAAGCCAUUUUUGCAGGAACAUCUUUGCUCCCAACAUAUCUUGGGCUCUCACUUGCGUUUGUCCUGCCCAUCUUUGCACAUGGGGUGUCUGCACAUGCCCAGCUGGAAGAUGAGGAUGUGAGUGUGCUUAUGGAGGUGGUUCUGGAGAUGGAUGGGUGCAGUCCUACCACCCCUGCCAAUAUUUGCAGCUUGCAACAUUAAUGCUUAUGGUAUUUACAGCAAAACACAACCAUAAGAGAUGGUUAAUGCGUACUGCUUCCCAGCAUGGCUGCUUCCAGAAAUCUCCAGGUUUUGAUGUGCUGGCUAUUUCAAGUAAGCCCUAGUUUAUGUAUUUUCUUUUCAUAAGCUCUCCACAGCCAAGCUGCGACAGCUAAGAGAAACCCGCUCAGUCUUUCAGCGAUAACAUCUCAAUUAUCAGAGCACUGCCUUCUUGCACAUGAGGGUUGUGCAUGCGCGUGUUGACACUCCUUAAAGUAUUUUCGGAGCUGAAGCAUAAGCAGGGACUCAGCUUGGUGUGGCAUUGGGGACGCUGAAAAAAAUGCCAGGAGGGAAAGGCCAACCUCAAUUUGUGUCAUUUAAUGCCACUUAACGUCUGUCACCUUGUUUAGAAUAGGACAGUCGAUAGCAAAUAUGUAGUAGAGCCAAGUUUCCUCAUUAAAUGCUAACAACGCAGUUGUACCUCACCCUGGUGCUCGUAUCGUAGGGAAUUGUGUGCAUCCUGCAGUUGGAUGAUGUGCUGAGACACACGCCGUGGGUUUCCUGCGCCGUGUGCUCUGCUGUUGAUAAAGGAAGCCGGGAGGGCUGAUGCCAGGAAUCACAUGGGAAAUCUGGGUUUCUGGCUGCCCACACAGCUCCAGUGUGACCAAAUGUUGGCAGGAGCAAUCCCAGAGCAUCCCCUGGAGAUCAGAUGGGCAGAGGACUGGGAAUUGCUGUUUGUUUUCAUGACCACCUUUCCCUUGCAAAGUAGAUGCCACAUUAUCACUAGGUUGAGCUGUUGGCUGCAACGGAGCCGUACUCAAAAUCAGACAAAACCAAAGCUGUUAGAUCUUUCCCUAAGUCCUCUUGAAAGCAUCACAGGUGUAGAAGAAAUUACACCAUUCUGUAUGGAUUCAUGCCUGCUCUCAUGGAUCUCCCUGGCCUCAGGCUGACCAUGUGCCUCCACUGCUCCAUUUUUUCCAGCAGUGGGGAUGUGAGAAGCCUCAAGAGGGACAGAAAGGCUUUGCCCGAGCAGCAGUAGGAGCCCUUGAGACCAGAAACCAAUAAUCCUUGCCUGGAGCUGGUCUCUUUGGCUCCAGGCACUGCUGAGUUUGCUGGUGGAGAAAACCACUGCACUGGAUCAAACCACUGUUAAAGCAGACUUCACAAAUGUGAAUAGCUAGUGGUCAAAAAGAGC